UACAGAGGGUGCAAGCGUUAUUCGGAAUUACUGGGCGUAAAGCGUGCGUAGGCGGUUAUGUAAGUCAGGUGUGAAAGCCCCGGGCUCAACCUGGGAAUUGCAUUUGAGACUGCAUAGCUAGGGUGCGGAAGAGGGAAGCGGAAUUUCCGGUGUAGCGGUGAAAUGCGUAGAUAUCGGAAGGAACAUCAGUGGCGAAAGCGGCUUCCUGGUCCAGCACCGACGUUCAGGCACGAAAGCGUGGGGAACAAACAGG
RNAcentral lists this ribosomal RNA (253 nucleotides) under uncultured bacterium. RNAcentral's name for it is "partial 16S ribosomal RNA". It matches the Rfam family "Bacterial small subunit ribosomal RNA", at positions 524 to 776 of the family's 1533-position model. The record is from RNAcentral.